AUUGAACGCUGGCGGCAUGCCUUACACAUGCAAGUCGAACGGUAACAGGUCUUCGGAUGCUGACGAGUGGCGAACGGGUGAGUAAUACAUCGGAACGUGCCUAGUAGUGGGGGAUAACUACUCGAAAGAGUGGCUAAUACCGCAUGAGAUCUACGGAUGAAAGCAGGGGAUCGCAAGACCUUGUGCUACUAGAGCGGCCGAUGGCAGAUUAGGUAGUUGGUGGGAUAAAAGCUUACCAAGCCGACGAUCUGUAGCUGGUCUGAGAGGACGAUCAGCCACACUGGGACUGAGCCACGGCCCAGACUCCUACGGGAGGCAGAAGUGGGGAAUUUUGGACAAUGGGCGAAAGCCUGAUCCAGCAAUGCCGCGUGCAGGAUGAAGGCCUUCGGGUUGUAAACUGCUUUUGUACGGAACGAAAAGCCCCGGGUUAAUACCCUGGGGUCAUGACGGUACCGUAAGAAUAAGCACCGGCUAACUACGUGCCAGCAGCCGCCGUAA
RNAcentral lists this ribosomal RNA (498 nucleotides) under uncultured bacterium. RNAcentral's name for it is "partial 16S ribosomal RNA". It matches the Rfam family "Bacterial small subunit ribosomal RNA", at positions 30 to 523 of the family's 1533-position model. The record is from RNAcentral.